Coturnix japonica (Japanese quail) is the source of this 1412-nucleotide non-coding RNA. Lineage: Eukaryota; Metazoa; Chordata; Aves; Galliformes; Phasianidae. The record is from RefSeq and is a predicted model, not a curated record.
CCCCGGUCUGAAAGAAGGAGAAAAGGGCCAUCAUUGGAGAGCUCCCGGUGCCACGGCGAGGGCCGGCCCGGCGAGGUCAGAGGUCCUGGACCGCGGGAGAGCAAGGUCUCCAGAUGGCUGUGACGUAAAGAAGAAGCAUCCUGCACGGAUUUCUCAAGAAUAAACAGUCCCUAUUUGCCUUUAGAGAGGAAUGCUCACGGAGCUCCAAUUAACGCAAUCAGAGCCGGGCUUCAUGCCGGCACUCCGCCUUCCGCGCAGGAACCACGGAAGGAGGUGCAGCGCGGCGCAAACCCCAUUCCGCACUACGGCCGAGCAGAAUUCACGCGGAGAGGAACCACGACGCAGCAGCUCGCGGCGGGCAGCGCUCCCGCAGCGUCCCGCUCCCGCAGCCAGGAGAGCCGCUUCCCAUAGAGCUGCCCUUAUCGUCCCUCUGGUGACCGCGGUGCCGCCGCACCGGCAACCCCGGCGGUCCUGCUGCUGGCAUGCAAGGGGAUGUCAGCGCGAAUCCGAACUGUGCAACAAGAGCAGGCGAACUAUCGAGAAUACAGCAUCUCAAGGAAAAACAAAUGAAACACGCACUCGGUCAGUAAUCAUACACGAAAGCAAUGCACGCUGCUAAGCACCACGUAUUUAUAAAAUCUGUAUGUAACACAUAGAGCACCGUCCGGCUUUAAUAAGGAAAAACAUUUUACCGUGUCGUGCCUUGGAAGUCAUUCCCUGUGCUCUGUCUGCGUUGUUUAAAUCUGAAAAAUAACCACAAAAGAAGCGAAGGGUCAUGAUUUAAAUAUUUUUACUGUUUGGUUCUUGUUCGUUAAGUGCAUGUAAACAGAUGGGUGUAAAGGUGCCCAGAUCUAGAUCACUCAUAUCUGAGCUGGUUCGUUCAAUAAGACCAAAAGUUGUUAGCCAUGGGCAGGCUCAGCUCUGGGUUAAGCCGGGACGCAGCCAGCCACAUUUCUUGCAAAUGAUCCAACAUGACACAGAACAGAUAUGAGUGAUGCACUCCAGCAUCUGCAGAGUUAAAUGUGGCAAUCAGUGUUUACAUAAAACAAAAGGGAUAAUAUAAAGACUAUAACAACUUGUGGUUAACUCCUCUCAAGGAAAAUGGAUAGAGAAUAUUUCGGGCCGCUGAAUGGAAGUGGCCAAAACUCCAGGGGCGGGCACGAUAUUUGCAUACUAUAUGCUGCGGCUCCUUAAUGAAGGACGGAGCUCCACCUAGCCUCCAGCCCAGCUCUGUGCACAGAGCCUCACGCCGCUCUCCUUAGGGCCCUCAGACCGGGAGCACGGCGAAGGAGCCGUCAGCACUGACAGCGUGCCAACGGAGCAAGGGUAAAUAAAUACAGUGAGCCACAGGCUUUCAUCGCCUUAUAUCAGCUGCAUCAGCUUUAGUUACAAAAUAAAAAUAAUAAGAGUAA